Molecule: non-coding RNA, 5274 nt
Organism: Pelobates cultripes (western spadefoot toad)
Lineage: Eukaryota; Metazoa; Chordata; Amphibia; Anura; Pelobatidae
Source: the annotation of a GenBank genome assembly
CCGGCAAUAUGUUUGUAAAAUGAAUCUGAAAAAGGAAACAUGAGACGAGCCAAUGUGUAGUCUGUUAAAACCAUGGGAGAAGGUGUUAAUAAAAUAGGGUGCUCACCUUUAUUCUGAGCCCACAAUCCUGGCUCUGAGGUAUGCAGGUACUGUGCCAAUUUAAUGGGGAUGGCACUACCCCUAUGAGGAUUCCUUGAGGCUCCAAAAAUGACUUUGAUAAAAUAACAGAAUUUAUUACAAUGUUAACAUAAACAUAUAAAAUAAUACUUGCAGUAAUAAAAAAGUAGCCAAUACAGUAAAGGGCUUCCUCAGUCAGCUGUAGACUGACUUACUCAACAGCUGCUUGAGGAAGCCUCAAGGAAUCCUCAUAGGGGUAGUGCCAUCCUCACUAAAUUGGCACAGUACCCACAAACCUCAGAGCCGGGAUUGCAAGGCUCAGAAUAAUGUGAGCACCCUAUUUUAACAGACCACCUAUUGGCUUGUCUGUUUUAUGUUUUCCUUUUUGAGAUUUAUUUUACAACGUAUUGGAGGUGUGGUGCUGCCAUAAGAGCACACCAGUUUGAUUACGGAGCCAGUACUCACACACAGGCUCCUUAAAAUGUGAGUGUUCUGACUUCAAUAUCACAUAUUGUGUUCCACUUUAUAUAACAUCUGCACUAUACGGUAUCUUGUCUUAUCUUUUAGAUGUAUCUUAAACAAAUUUUUUAUUCAAGUUACGUGGUAACUUACCUCACAUACGCACUAUAUAUAAACAAUUUGUUUAGCGCUCCACUAAUAGGUGUAGGCUGUUGCUUACACCGGUUUAUAGACUUUUGACUUUUUUGUUAAUAAGAGGCUAUUGCCACAUUAGUGUAUAGAGCUGCUUGCAUUUUUAUUGUUCCACACACCCCUCCCAUGUAGGAGGUGUAUUUUGACUUGCAUUCUAUAAAUCUGGCUUAACAUUCCCAGGGUUAUUUUAAUAAACAUUGAAAGGUAGUAAGUAACAAGCUGGAUUGGCACGCAGAGCCGAUCUCUAAAAAUUAAUUAAAAUAAAAAUACAAAAUGUAAUUCUGAGUUUGCAAUUUUAGCCGCCAUUUGGAUUUGCGUGUGCUGCGUUCUGGCCUUUUGGUGAAUAACCCUGGUGUGUUUGUAUGGGUGGGGUGAGCACUCUGGGGUAAAGACGUUGUGCUCCUCUGUGGUGGGUGUUCACGUAAACUGCUCCUUCGAGAGUUAACUUGUAGGACCUCUAAAAUAUAAAUGGUUUUAUUUUAAAUAAGUGAAAUGUAAAUUAUAAAAAGUUCAUUCUAGCGAGGGUCCCAGGGACGCUCUGUACACGGCGUGGCGUAGCGCCUAUCAUGCAUUCAGCGGGCGCACAGAUGGCAGGAUUGUGGGCCGUGCAGUCUUUCUAGUAUUAGGUGUGCGUGAAUUGUAAUCCAGCAUCCAGAGAAAGAUUCUGAAUGUGACGAGGCUCGCUGUAAUCUGUUUGAGGCUGUUUUAUCCUGUAAAUCUAGAUUCAGGGGGAGCCGGUCCCCUUUAAGUUGCAGUGUCUGAACAUGCUGGGGGUGUUGGCCACACACAGGCGCGGCGGUGUUACUUCAGUUAUUACUAGCAGGGAGGAUGGGACAACGUGCUGCUGCUUUUCCUUUGGUUUCCCUGGGCGUUCUCUGUGAGCGUACAAAGCAACACGCAGUCAUGCGCCAUGAAUAUUUCAACGUGUUCCUGGCUAAAGGGAAAAGAUUUAUAUUUAUAGAGAACCAAGAGGCAGCACUCGCCUGAACACUCAUACAAUAUAGGGUGCUGCUGGAGCCUUUUCAUACAAGAUCCAUACAAGAUUCUGUGAGCUGUUUACUGUGUGUGUGUGUGUGUGUGAAAAUAUAUAUAUAUAUAUAUAUAUGUUCAUAUUACUCUGGUUGAUCAAUAGAUACAGAACAAUGGAGCUACAAACUAGUGUCUAAAAUAAAUAAAUACACCUAGUUUAGUAUCACGUUAACCCCCACAACCCCCGGGGGUUGUAGUAACCGUUGCUUACAUAGUUACAUAGCUGAAAAGACUGAAGAAGAAAAGUUUCCAAUUUUGCAACAAACUAGGAAAAAAUUAUUUCGCUACCCCAAAAUAGCAGUCAGAUGUCUCCUUGGAUCAAGCAGCUAUUACCCCACUAAUUAGAAAUUAUAUCCCUGUAUGUUAUGUUUUUGGAAGUAUUUAUCCAAUUACUGUUUAAAUAACUGUAUAGACUCUGACAAAACCACCUCUUCAGGCAGAGAAUUCCAUAUCCUUAUUGCUCUUACUGUAAAAAAAACCUUUUCUUUGCCUUAGAUGAAAUCUCCUUUCUUCCAGCCUAAAUGUGUGACCUUGUGUCCUAUGUAAAGCCCUGUUUAUGAAUAGAUUUCCAGAUAUAUACUGACCCCGAAUAUAUUUGUAUAACGUUAUCAUACCCCCUCUCAGGCGCCGUUUUUCUAAACUAAAGAGAUUUAAUUUUUUUUUAACCUUUCUUCAUAACUAAAGUGCUCCAUUCCUUUUAUCAAUUUUGUAGCUCGUCUCUGCACUUUUUCUAGUGCCAUGAUAUCCUUCUUUAGAACAGGUGCCCAAAAUUGCACAGCAUAUUCAAGGUGUGGUCUUACCAGCGAUUUAUAAAGAGGCAAAAUUAUAUUUUCAUCCCGAGAAUUUAUGCCCCUUUUUAUCCAUAACAAAACCUUACUGGCCUUAGCAACUGCAGACUGACAUUGCAUAUUGCUGCCUAAUUUGUUGCCUAUAACAAUUCCCAAAUCCUUCUCGUGUGUGGUUAUCCCUAAUUCACUACCAUUUAGGGUGUAAGUUGCUUUGUGGAAGUAGUGAUUCCAGCAGGGUUUGGCAAAUUUAUUCAGAUUUAUUGUAAUUCUAAUAAAAAAUAAAAAUAAACCUUUAUUUUAUACUUUGUAUUGCUUUACUUUGACCAAGUAGCAGAGGAGAGAUUGGGAGCAGUUAACCCCCGCUAUAUCUCUGGAGACAACUUUGAGCUGUGUUCUACACAUACAUUUCCUGAGUGAAAAGAUUUUGGAUAACCACCAUAAAUCAGUAUUAAACAAAGGGUUAAAAUUCGCCCCAAAUGUAGGAUUGAACCAUUUUGAUAUAUACAUAGAUUUAAAUAGAUUAAAACGCAGCUUAUGUUUAAAAAAAAUGUUUCUUUAACAAUCAACAAUCAACCGAAGGUUCAACCGAUUCAGGAAGUUGACCCUACAGGAUUCAAACAUACUACUUUAAAGAACAAAUCUUUUUAUCCCAAACAAAUGAUAUCGGACGAAAUAGUAUCGUUUGAAACUAUGGUCAUGACUGAAUUAAAGAAGAUUGUUCCUAAAGACAAAUUUAGACACAAUUUGACAAUGUUGGAAAAAAGGGCAUUGAAAGAUCUCCAGACAGAUAGAAAUAUAGUCAUAAAACCGGACGACAAGGGAGGAGGAAUAGUUCUGAUGUCGAGACAAUUUUAUAACACAGAAGCAAAGAAUAUUCUGAAAGAUAUUAAUACAUAUCAAGAACUUAAAGCAAAUCCGAGUGAAAGUAUCUAUAUAUAUCCUUCUCGAAAUUUUUUGAAAAAGGGUUCCAGGAUAAUAUCUUGAGUUUAAAAGAAUUCCAAUUUUUGAACAUUAAAUUCCCUAAGAUUCCGUUUUUUUUAACUUUCUACCGAAAGUCCACAAUGACGUAAGGAAGCCUCCUGGUAGACCAAUUAUAGCAGGGAUAGACUCCAUUUCCAGUAGACUAUCCCAGUACAUAGAUGUACAGUUACAACCACUGGUUUUAAAUACAAAAUCACAUAUUAAAGAUACAAUCACAGUUUUAAAUAGAUUGGAGAACAUAACUUGGGAUGAUAAUUGCAUCCUAGUCACAUGUGAUGUGGCAGCGCUCCAUAGUAAUAUUCUACACUCUUAUGGCUGUAGAGCAGCAAGACACUUUCUGACAGAAUCAAAGGGAUUCAAUCAAGAACAAAUUGAGUACAUUAUAGAAGGGAUAGAGCUGAUUCUAAAGAACAACUUUUUUCUGUAAGUAAAUGGGAUGGCCAUGGGGACCAAGUUUGCCCCCAGCUAUGCCAAUCUAUUUAUGUCCUAUUUAUGAUGGGCAUGGCUGGGUGGAAAGCUUGGUCUUUUAUGGCCGCUAUAUAGAUGACAUACUGUUCAUCUGGAGAGGUGAGGAGAAGGAUCUAAUGGUAUUCCUGGAAUUCUUAAAUACCAAUGACUGGGGCAUCAAACUCAGUAGUACAUGGAGCAGAGAAUUGGUCACAUUCCUGGAUUUAGACAUUUUCAUAGAAGAAGGGAAAAUUAAGACUAAAAAUCACUUUAAACAAGUAGAUUGUAAUAGAUUUAUAGAGAAUGUAAAUUGCCAUCAUUCCCCCUGGCUAGAGAAUGCACCAAAAGGACAAUUCUUGAGGAUCCGACGUAAUUGUAGCGACCUCGUUGUCUAUGAUGAACAGUCUUUGCAUAUAAAGACAGACUUCCUGGCCAAGGGUUAUGAUGCCCGUAAACUAGAGAAUUCAAGGAAUGAAGUUAGGAAUAGAGAAAGAAAGGAGCUGUUAUCCUAUAAAAAUAAAAUAAUCACAGAUGUACAAGAUGUCCCAUUUGUCUGUAAUUAUAACUCUCACAAGUAUCAAAUCAACCAGAUUAAGAAAUAUUGGCCGAUAUUACUACAGGAUCCUGUUUUGAAACAAAUUCUUCCCAUUAAUCCUAGAAUGAUAUAUAGGGGUGCUAAAAACCUCAAGAACACUCUAGUACGAAGCUCGUUGAAAGAAGUCAAAACCCCUUCCACUAUAUUUAAUAAUGAAAAGGGUUUUUAUGGCUGUGGACAAUGUACAGCUUGUAAGAAGUCAGGAUGUGCCUGGAGAAAAGUGGAAGACAUUAAUCUAAAUGGAAUAGAUAAAAUUCAAAUAAAACAGUUUAUAACUUGUUAUUCUAAAAACGUGAUCUAUCUUCUGACUUGCCCAUGUAGGGAAGGACAACUAGACCCUUACAUGUCAGAAUUAGAGAACAUGUAUACAAAAUACAAACAGGUUACGAACAACACCGCGUAUCUAAUCAUUUUAAACUAUAUCAUGAUCAGAAACCAGAAGGUUUGACCUUCUGUGGCAUUGACAAAGUGGGAAAGAACUGGAGAGGUGGGGAUUUUAUAAGGGAUUUGGGGAAACGGGAGAUGGAGUGGAUCUAUAAAUUGAACACUCUAAUCCCUAAUGGCCUCAACUACGAUUUUGAAUUAUGCCAUUUUUUAUAAUGUUAUUAUUUUUAGUGAUAUUAUUUAUAUAUGUAUUUUUUAUAAAUGAAUUAAAAUCAGCUUACA